GUGGGUGUAGCUCAGUGGUAGAGCGCACGCUUAGCAUGCAUGAGGUCCUGGGUUCAAUCCCCAGUGCCUCUA
This 72-nucleotide transfer RNA is filed under the name Camelus bactrianus (Bactrian camel). It matches the Rfam family "tRNA". Rfam says of the family: Transfer RNA (tRNA) molecules are approximately 80 nucleotides in length. Lineage: Eukaryota; Metazoa; Chordata; Mammalia; Artiodactyla; Camelidae. The record is from Rfam by way of RNAcentral. RNAcentral also lists the same sequence under 2 other names.